UCUACGGGUGGCAGCAGUGAGGAAUAUUGGUCACUGGGCGGGCGCCUGAACCAGCCAAGUCGCGUGAGGGAAGACGGUCCUAUGGAUUGUAAACCUCUUUAGGCGGGGAGCAAUGCCGGGCACGUGUGCCCGGCGGGAGAGUACCCGAAGAAUAAGCAUCGGCUAACUCGGUGCCAGCAGCCGCGGUACUACGGAGGAUGCGAGCGUUAUCAGGAUUUAUUGGGUUUAAAGGGUGCGUGGGCGGAUUUUUAAGUCAGCGGUAAAAUGUCCGGGCUCAACCCGGGCCGGCCGUUGAAACUGGGGAUCUUGAGUGGGCGAGAAGUAUGCGGAAUGCGUGGGGUAGCGGUGAAAUGCAUAGAGAUCACGCAGAACUCCGAGUGCGAAGGCAGCAUACCGGCGCCCGACUGACGCUGAGGCACGAAAGCGUGGGGAUCGAACAGGAUUAGAUACCCGGGUAGUC
Molecule: ribosomal RNA, 460 nt
Filed under: uncultured bacterium
Lineage: Bacteria
Description: partial 16S ribosomal RNA
Rfam family: Bacterial small subunit ribosomal RNA
Source: RNAcentral